GGGCCCACACAAGCGGUGGAGCAUGUGGUUUAAUUCGAUGAUACGCGAGGAACCUUACCAGGGCUUAAAUGUAGGUUGCAUGAUCUAGAGAUAGAUCUUUCUUCGGACUACCUACAAGGUGCUGCAUGGUUGUCGUCAGCUCGUGCCGUGAGGUGUCAGGUUAAGUCCUAUAACGAGCGCAACCCCUGUCGUUAGUUACCAGCAAGUAAUGUUGGGUACUCUGCGAGACUGCCGGUGCAAACCGCGAGGAAGGUGGGGAUGACGUCAAAUCAUCACGGCCCUUACGUCCUGGGCCACACACGUGCUACAAUGGCCGGUACAGAGAGCAGCCACUACGCGAGUAGGAGCGAAUCUUCAAAACCGGUCUCAGUUCGGAUCGCAGUCUGCAACUCGACUGCGUGAAGCUGGAAUCGCUAGUAAUCG
RNAcentral lists this ribosomal RNA (423 nucleotides) under uncultured bacterium. RNAcentral describes it as "bacterial SSU rRNA". It matches the Rfam family "Bacterial small subunit ribosomal RNA", at positions 917 to 1344 of the family's 1533-position model. The record is from RNAcentral.